Molecule: ribosomal RNA, 495 nt
Filed under: uncultured bacterium
Lineage: Bacteria
Description: partial 16S ribosomal RNA
Rfam family: Bacterial small subunit ribosomal RNA
Source: RNAcentral
GACGAACGCUGGCGGCGUGCCUAAUACAUGCAAGUAGAACGCUGAAGGAGGAGCUUGCUUCUCUGGAUGAGUUGCGAACGGGUGAGUAACGCGUAGGUAACCUGCCUGGUAGCGGGGGAUAACUAUUGGAAACGAUAGCUAAUACCGCAUAAGAGUAGAUGUCGCAUGACAUUUGCUUAAAAGGUGCAAUUGCAUCACUACCAGAUGGACCUGCGUUGUAUUAGCUAGUUGGUGAGGUAACGGCUCACCAAGGCAACGAUACAUAGCCGACCUGAGAGGGGGAUCGGCCACACUGGGACUGAGACACGGCCCAGACUCCUACGGGAGGCAGCAGUAGGGAAUCUUCGGCAAUAGACGGAAGUCUGACCGAGCAACGCCGCGUGAGUGAAGAAGGGUUUCGGAUCGUAAAGCUCGGUUGUAAGAGAAGAACGAGUGUGAGAGUGGAAAGUUCACACUGUGACGGUAUCUUACCAGAAAGGGACGGCUAACUACGUG